This 22-nucleotide unclassified non-coding RNA is filed under the name Dictyostelium discoideum. The record is from RNAcentral. Lineage: Eukaryota; Evosea; Eumycetozoa; Dictyosteliales; Dictyosteliaceae.
GGGGACGUCUAACAUUCACUAA